This 253-nucleotide ribosomal RNA is filed under the name uncultured bacterium. RNAcentral's name for it is "partial 16S ribosomal RNA". It matches the Rfam family "Bacterial small subunit ribosomal RNA", at positions 524 to 776 of the family's 1533-position model. The record is from RNAcentral.
UACGUAGGGGGCAAGCGUUGUCCGGAUUUAUUGGGCGUAAAGAGCGUGUAGGCGGCGCGGUAUGUCUCUUGUGAAAUCUCCAGGCUCAACUUGGAGUCUGCAAGGGAAACUGCCGUGCUUGAGUACUGGAGAGGUGAGUGGAAUUCCCGGUGUAGCGGUGAAAUGCGUAGAUAUCAGGAAGAACACCCGUGGCGAAGGCGGCUCACUGGCCCGGUACUGACGCUGAGGUGCGAAAGCGUGGGGAGCAAACAGG